UUAUCGUUUAUUUGAUAGUACCUUACUACUUGGAUAACCGUGGUAAUUCUAGAGCUAAUACAUGCUGAAAAUCCCGACUCCGGAAGGGAUGUAUUUAUUAGAUUCAAAGCCAAUGCCCCCCGGGCUCACUGGUGAUUCAUGAUAACUGCUCGAAUCGCACGGCCUUGCGCCGGCGAUGGUUCAUUCAAAUUUCUUCCCUAUCAACUUUCGAUGUUUGGGUAGUGGCCAAACAUGGUUGCAACGGGUAACGGAGGGUUAGGGCUCGACCCCGGAGAAGGAGCCUGAGAAACGGCUACUACAUCCAAGGAAGGCAGCAGGCGCGCAAAUUACCCAAUCCCGACACGGGGAGGUAGUGACAAUAAAUACUGAUACAGGGCUCUUUUGGGUCUUGUAAUUGGAAUGAGUACAAUUUAAAUCCCUUAACGAGGAACAAUUGGAGGGCAAGUCUGGUGCCAGCAGCCGCGGUAAUUCCAGCUCCAAUAGCGUAUAUUAAAGUUGUUGUGGUUAAAAAGCUCGUAGUUGAACCUUGGGCCUGGCUGGUCGGUCCGCCUCACCGCGUGCACUGGUCCGGCCGG
Molecule: ribosomal RNA, 575 nt
Filed under: Ophiocordyceps karstii
Lineage: Eukaryota; Fungi; Ascomycota; Sordariomycetes; Hypocreales; Ophiocordycipitaceae
Description: SSU rRNA
Rfam family: Eukaryotic small subunit ribosomal RNA
Source: RNAcentral